RNAcentral lists this ribosomal RNA (277 nucleotides) under uncultured Thermanaerovibrio sp. Its description in RNAcentral is "partial 16S ribosomal RNA". It matches the Rfam family "Bacterial small subunit ribosomal RNA", at positions 1106 to 1382 of the family's 1533-position model. The record is from RNAcentral. Lineage: Bacteria; Thermotogati; Synergistota; Synergistia; Synergistales; Synergistaceae.
UACGCUGAGUUACCAGCACGUAAAGUGGGGACUCUCAGUGGACUGCCGGCGACAAGCCGGAGGAGGGUGGGGACGACGUCAAGUCAUCAUGGCCCUCACGUCCAGGGCGACACACGUGCUACAAUGGCCGGCACAACGGGAAGCGACGGCGCGAGUCGUAGCGGAUCCCUCAAAGCCGGUCCCAGUUCGGAUUGCAGUCUGCAACUCGACUGCAUGAAGCCGGAAUCGCUAGUAAUCGUGGAUCAGCCAAGCCGCGGUGAAUACGUUCCCGGGCCUU